GACGAACGCUGGCGGCGUGCUUAACACAUGCAAGUCGAACGGAAAGGCCCUGCUUUUGUGGGGUGCUCGAGUGGCGAACGUGUGAGUAACACGUGAGUAACCUGCCCUUGACUUUGGGAUAACUUCAGGAAACUGGGGCUAAUACCGGAUAGGAGCUCCUGCUGCAUGGUGGGGUUUGGAAAGUUUCGGCGGUUGGGGAUGGACUCGCGGCUUAUCAGCUUGUUGGUGGGGUAGUGGCUUACCAAGGCUUUGACGGGUAGCCGGCCUGAGAGGGUGACCGGCCACAUUGGGACUGAGAUACGGCCCAGACUCCUACGGGAGGCAGCAGUGGGGAAUAUUGCACCAUGGGCGGAAGCCUGAUGCAGCAACGCCGCGUGCGGGAUGACGGCCUUCGGGUUGUAAACCGCUUUCGCCUGUGACGAAGCGUGAGUGACGGUAAUGGGUAAAGAAGCACCGGCUAACUACGUG
RNAcentral lists this ribosomal RNA (468 nucleotides) under uncultured bacterium. RNAcentral's name for it is "partial 16S ribosomal RNA". It matches the Rfam family "Bacterial small subunit ribosomal RNA", at positions 28 to 507 of the family's 1533-position model. The record is from RNAcentral.